RNAcentral lists this ribosomal RNA (254 nucleotides) under uncultured bacterium. Its description in RNAcentral is "partial 16S ribosomal RNA". It matches the Rfam family "Bacterial small subunit ribosomal RNA", at positions 524 to 776 of the family's 1533-position model. The record is from RNAcentral.
UACGUAGGGUGCGAGCGUUGUCCGGAAUUAUUGGGCGUAAAGAGCUCGUAGGCGGUCUGUCGCGUCGGUCGUGAAAACUUGGGGCUUAACCCUGAGCUUGCGGUCGAUACGGGCAUGACUGGAGUUCGGCAGGGGAGGCUGGAAUUCCUGGUGUAGCGGUGAAAUGCGCAGAUAUCAGGAGGAACACCGGUGGCGAAGGCGGGUCUCUGGGCCGAUACUGACGCUGAGGAGCGAAAGCGUGGGGAGCGAACAGG